RNAcentral lists this ribosomal RNA (301 nucleotides) under uncultured bacterium. RNAcentral describes it as "partial 16S ribosomal RNA". It matches the Rfam family "Bacterial small subunit ribosomal RNA", at positions 509 to 807 of the family's 1533-position model. The record is from RNAcentral.
CAGCCGCCGCGGUAAUACGAAGGGGGCUAGCGUUGUUCGGAAUUACUGGGCGUAAAGCGCACGUAGGCGGAUAUUUAAGUCAGGGGUGAAAUCCCGCAGCUCAACUGCGGAACUGCCUUUGAUACUGGGUAUCUUGAGUAUGGAAGAGGUAAGUGGAAUUGCGAGUGUAGAGGUGAAAUUCGUAGAUAUUCGCAGGAACACCAGUGGCGAAGGCGGCUUACUGGUCCACUACUGACGCUGAGGUGCGAAAGCGUGGGGAGCAAACAGGAUUAGAUACCCCUGUAGUCCCUGUCUCUUAUAC